CAAAGCCAGACGUGUCAAGCCUGCGGAGCGAAAUAAUAACGCGCCUAAAGACUUGGUGUUGGGUGAUGUGCUAGAUUAAGUGCGCGGUAUUACACAGUCACUAUCAACGGCGAUCACUAGUGAGGUGGCCAAAAAACGAGCUUUAGAGCAUCUAAGAGCGGUUUUAGCCGGUGUACAGACCUUGUUUCCAAAACAGAUCCAGGUUUUCACCGCUAACCUCUUAGAUAUAAUUUCUACAGAAGAUGCCGCUCUAAACUCUGGAUUUCAGACCAUGUUGAUGCUAUUUCAUGCUUCAUUGGUUCAAAUCCCCAGUGAUAAAUGACUAAACAUGCGGUCUAAAAAGUGCUUAAAAGACCGACCGCUUGCCAACCGCAAGCUUUUGUACAUAAAUAAAAGAAUUAAACUGGCAAAAGCAUGUUUGUUGCGUCGUCAAAGAUUCAGAGAGAGGCAUCAGAUUUCCCAAGGGUCGCCCGAGCCACGCAAUGAAAAUGCAGUGGUAGAAAAUAACUUAAGGCCCGAGGUUGUUGUAGCAGAACAGGAUGGUGGUAACCCAGAACCGGUUGUACUGAACGAUCUGAAUCAGGUUGGUGACGGUGCCGUGGCGAAUAGAGACCCCAUAGUAUUCCUGGAGUGUAUGCGUAGUUAUAACAGGUCUUAUAAUAAUUUUAGAGCAACAGAGCACCAUGAAGAAUUUCGUCCAGAGAAUAUUGGAUGAACUUUCUCCAAACAUCGGGGCGAAUGAUUUUGUACAGCUGCGUUUGACUGCGGGUGGUUUUAACAAACCCUUGUUCUCACGCAGGAGACACCCUGGAGAAUUAAAUGCUGCCGAUUUUUUAAGCCACAUCUCAGACCUCUUACAGAGCCACACAGAAGUUCUCACCGAUGACAGCCUCAGAUUAGUGGUGACGAUAGGAAUAUGCAGGGGGGUGCCCGCAGAAGAUUUAAAUCAUUCUGUACA
This 958-nucleotide long non-coding RNA is filed under the name Lepisosteus oculatus (spotted gar). RNAcentral describes it as "lncRNA (ENSLOCG00000022276.1)". The record is from RNAcentral. Lineage: Eukaryota; Metazoa; Chordata; Actinopteri; Semionotiformes; Lepisosteidae.